RNAcentral lists this ribosomal RNA (490 nucleotides) under uncultured bacterium. Its description in RNAcentral is "partial 16S ribosomal RNA". It matches the Rfam family "Bacterial small subunit ribosomal RNA", at positions 30 to 507 of the family's 1533-position model. The record is from RNAcentral.
AUUGAACGCUGGCGGCAGGCCUAACACAUGCAAGUCGAACGGUAACAGGAAGAAGCUUGCUUCUUUGCUGACGAGUGGCGGACGUGUGAGUAAUGUCUGGGAAACUGCCUGAUGGAGGGGGAUAACUACUGGAAACGGUAGCUAAUACCGCAUAACGUCGCAAGACCAAAGAGGGGGACCUUCGGGCCUCUUGCCAGCGACUGUGCCCAGAUGGGAUUAGCUAGUAGGUGGGGUAACGGCUCACCUAGGCGACGAUCCCUAGCUGGUCUGAGAGGAUGACCAGCCACACUGGAACUGAGACACGGUCCAGACUCCUACGGGAGGCAGCAGUGGGGAAUAUUGCACAAUGGGCGAAAGCCUGAUGCAGCCAUGCCGCGUGUAUGAAGAAGGCCUUCGGGUUGUAAAGUACUUUCAGCGGGGAGGAAGGAAGUAAAGUUAAUACCUUUGCUCAUUGACGUUACCCGAAGAAGAAGCACCGGCUAACUACGUG